UGAGGAAUAUUGGUCAAUGGGCGAGAGCCUGAACCAGCCAAGUAGCGUGCAGGAUGACGGCCCUAUGGGUUGUAAACUGCUUUUAUGCGGGGAUAAAGUGCGGUACGUGUAGCGUUUUGUAUGUACCGCAUGAAUAAGGACCGGCUAAUUCCGUG
This 155-nucleotide ribosomal RNA is filed under the name uncultured bacterium. RNAcentral describes it as "partial 16S ribosomal RNA". It matches the Rfam family "Bacterial small subunit ribosomal RNA", at positions 355 to 507 of the family's 1533-position model. The record is from RNAcentral.